CAUACGACCGUACCGCAAACCGACACUGGUGCGCGAGAUGAGUAUUCUAAGGCGCUUGAGAGAACUCAGGAGAAGGAACUCGGCAAAUUGACACCGUAACUUCGGAAGAAGGUGUGCCCUAUUAGUGUGUAGUGAACAACGAAGCAUGAAUGGGUUGCAAAAAAUCGGUGGCUGCGACUGUUUAUUAAAAACACAGCACUCUGCAAACACGAAAGUGGACGUAUAGGGUGUGACGCCUGCCCGGUGCUGGAAGAUUAAAUGAUGGGGUGCAAGCUCUUGAUUGAAGUCCCAGUAAACGGCGGCCGUAACAAUAACGGUCCUAAGGUAGCGAAAUUCCUUGUCGGGUAAGUUCCGACCUGCACGAAUGGCGUAACGAUGGCCACACUGUCUCCUCCUGAGACUCAGCGAAGUUGAAAUGUUUGUGAUGAUGCAAUCUCCCCGCGGAAAGACGGAAAGACCCCAUGAACCUUUACUGUAGCUUUGUAUUGGACUUUGAACAGAUCUGUGUAGGAUAGGUGGGAGGCUUUGAAGCAGGGUCGCUAGAUCUUGUGGAGCCAACGUUGAAAUACCACCCUGGUGUGUUUGAGGUUCUAACCUAGGUCCAUUAUCUGGAUCGGGGACAGUGCAUGGUAGGCAGUUUGACUGGGGCGGUCUCCUCCCAAAGCGUAACGGAGGAGUUCGAAGGUACGCUAGUUACGGUCGGACAUCGUGACGAUAGUGCAAUGGCAUAAGCGUGCUUAACUGCGAGACUGACAAGUCGAGCAGAUGCGAAAGCAGGACAUAGUGAUCCGGUGGUUCUGUAUGGAAGGGCCAUCGCUCAACGGAUAAAAGGUACUCUGGGGAUAACAGGCUGAUACCGCCCAAGAGUUCAUAUCGACGGCGGUGUUUGACACCUCGAUGUCGGCUCAUCUCAUCCUGGGGCUGUAGCCGGUCCCAAGGGUAUGGCUGUUCGCCAUUUAAAGAGGUACGUGAGCUGGGUUUAAAACGUCGUGAGACAGUUUGGUCCCUAUCUUCCGUGGGCGCUGCAGAUUUGAGGAAGCCUGCUCCUAGUACGAGAGGACCGGAGUGGACACACCUCUGGUGUAUCGGUUGUCACGCCAGUGGCAUUGCCGAGUAGCUAAGUGUGGAAGAGAUAACCGCUGAAAGCAUCUAAGCGGGAAACUCGUUUCAAGAUGAGAUCUGCCGGGGCCUUGAGCCCCCUAAAGAGUCGUUCAAGACCAGGACGUUGAUAGGUCAGGUGUGGAAGUG
This 1248-nucleotide ribosomal RNA is filed under the name metagenome. RNAcentral's name for it is "bacterial LSU rRNA". It matches the Rfam family "Bacterial large subunit ribosomal RNA", at positions 1635 to 2875 of the family's 2925-position model. The record is from RNAcentral.